GUGCUUGCUUCAGCAGCACAUAUAGUAAAAUUGGAACGAUACAGAAAAGAUUAGCAUGGCCCAUGCACAAGGAUGACACGCAAAUUCGUAAAGUGUUCCAUAUUAAA
Small nuclear RNA from Camelus dromedarius (Arabian camel), 107 nucleotides. The record is from Ensembl. Lineage: Eukaryota; Metazoa; Chordata; Mammalia; Artiodactyla; Camelidae.